GAUGAACGCUGGCGGCGUGCCUAAUACAUGCAAGUCGAGCGAACAGACGAGGAGCUUGCUCCUCUGACGUUAGCGGCGGACGGGUGAGUAACACGUGGAUAACCUACCUAUAAGACUGGGAUAACUUCGGGAAACCGGAGCUACUACCGGAUAAUAUAUUGAACCGCAUGGUUCAAUAGUGAAAGACGGUUUUGCUGUCACUUAUAGAUGGAUCCGCGCCGCAGUAGCUAGUUGGUAAGGUAACGGCUUACCAAGGCAACGAUGCGUAGCCGACCUGAGAGGGUGAUCGGCCACACUGGAACUGAGACACGGUCCAGACUCCUACGGGAGGCAGCAGUAGGGAAUCUUCCGCAAUGGGCGAAAGCCUGACGGAGCAACGCCGCGUGAGUGAUGAAAGUCUUCGGAUCGUAAAACUCUGUUAUUAGGGAAGAACAAAUGUGUAAGUAACUAUGCACGUCUUGACGGUACCUAAUCAGAAAGCCACGGCUAACUACGUG
This 497-nucleotide ribosomal RNA is filed under the name uncultured bacterium. RNAcentral's name for it is "partial 16S ribosomal RNA". It matches the Rfam family "Bacterial small subunit ribosomal RNA", at positions 28 to 507 of the family's 1533-position model. The record is from RNAcentral.